CACAAGCGGUGGAGUAUGUGGUUUAAUCGAAGCAACGCGAAGAACCUUACCAGGUCUUGACAUCCCGAUGCUAUUUCUAGAGAUAGAAAGUUACUUCGGUACAUCGGUGACAGGUGGUGCAUGGUUGUCGUCAGCUCGUGUCGUGAGAUGUUGGGUUAAGUCCCGCAACGAGCGCAACCCCUAUUGUUAGUUGCCAUCAUUCAGUUGGGCACUCUAGCGAGACUGCCGGUAAUAAACCGGAGGAAGGUGGGAUGACGUCAAAUCAUCAUGCCCCUUAUGACCUGGGCUACACACGUGCUACAAUGGUUGGUACAACGAGUUGCGAGUCGGUGACGGCGAGCUAAUCUCUUAAAGCCAAUCUCAGUUCGGAUUGUAGGCUGCAACUCGCCUACAUGAAGUCGGAAUCGCUAGUAAUCGCGGAUCAGCACGCCGCGGUGAAUACGUUCCCGGGCCUU
RNAcentral lists this ribosomal RNA (455 nucleotides) under uncultured Streptococcus sp. RNAcentral describes it as "bacterial SSU rRNA". It matches the Rfam family "Bacterial small subunit ribosomal RNA", at positions 924 to 1382 of the family's 1533-position model. Lineage: Bacteria; Bacillati; Bacillota; Bacilli; Lactobacillales; Streptococcaceae. The record is from RNAcentral.